UAUGUACAAGGGAAAACAUGCAAGGGUGGUUUCCCCCUCCCUCUGGCAGGUUAUCUUUCACAUGCUAGAUUUUGGAACUAGUGCUCUACCGGUCACAUGAAGGAAAAACUGUAGAGAAGCAGGCAAGUUUGUACAAUUGCCCUUCCAUGAUCACAUGAGCCAACAGGAUUCUGUCCCAGCUUUCCAUUCUAUCUCUAUGGUUGCAAUAGCUCAGGCUUUGAAACGUGUGUGGGCGGGUUUGCUCCAUACCUGUCCUGCUGUUACUAUGGUGAUGGCACUCUAUCCAUGACUGACCCACCUCAGAGGGAUGAGGAGGGAAGAUGGCAGUGGCGCGAGGCUCCAUCCAGCACCACCAGAAUGAACCAGGUCAGGAAGCCAUGGAUCCUUCAACCACUUCAGCCACUGCCUUGACCAAGCCACCCAGCUUCCAUUCUCCACUCCAGUCUGCCAGAGAGGUCAAACCCAUCAUUCCUUCAGCAUUCUUGGCUUCUGUAGCAAGCAUUCAAGCUCAAGCACAGAAACAUUUGUUCGCCGCUAUAACCUGCGAACGGGCCAAGCGCUGGUUUCAGGCAAUUGAACAUUAUAGAAAGCUAUUAAUUUCCUUGAGCCAAAAGAAGUUUCCAUCGCAAUAUGUACCUGGUCCUGAAUGUACCAAGCUGGUGUUUGAAACCUAUUAUCACAUAGGUGUCGCUUUCCAGAAAGUAGAUUACCACCGUGAUGCUUCAGAGGAGUUUACAAAUGCAAUAGAAACUGGAAACCCUUCCAAAGUUGGCUGCAACAUGGCCUGUGCUUCCAUUCCUUUCUACCAGACACCUGCAUAUGCAAGGAGAGCUUAUGCGUAUGUGAAAUGUGACAAAAUUAAAGAAGCCAUAGGUGACGCUACGAGAGCUGUGUAUUUAGACCCUUCAAAUCCUGAUGUGUACUGUGUCAGAGCUCUUGUAUGGAGCUCAGCAAAAGAAAAAAGAAGAGCCCUUCUUGAUUUGAACCUGAGUUUCAGGAUAAAUCCAUCUCACGUGUGCACUUUAAUCUUAAGAGGGGCCAUUUUAAAAUCGCUUGGUGGAUUGUCUGGUUCAGAUCAAAAUAAAGAUCAUAAAAUGGCCUCUCAACUCUGCAGGGAGAGUAUUAAUUACUUUGACGUGGAAGAUUUUCAUAGUCCUAAAAUGCCCUCUUUCUAUGACAAAUUCCUGUGGUCUCUAAAUGCAUUCCACACAAUAACAGAAAUCAACCUGUUUGCUGGAGCAUCAUUCAUGCCCAAGUCAAAACAAUCAAGUAUGAUUCAGAAAGACACCAGGAAACCAUUUAGAUGUGGGUGUGUACCACCAUAUUCUAGCAACAGCAGCGAGAGCAGCAACAGCAGCUUGUUAUUAUGGAGGAAAAUAUCUGCAAGAUCAGGCGUGGGGUCAGCCACAGGAGUUAAUGUGAAGACUCAAGUUCAUCAGUAGCAUCUUCUGGAGGUGAAGGCUUAAAGACUUCUGAAGUAACCAUGGCCAGAAAGUAUGUGAAAAAAAGACAGCAGUCCUCAGCAAGCUCAAACUAGUGAUAAAAGGAUCAAGUGCAGAAAUAGACUGGAAUCAAAUUCAACAGCAGCCUGGUGGUCUUGUAUAACAUGAGGUGCAAUAUAAUGUCUGUGAUUGGCACAGUGCUAGGCAAUAAAAAGCAGCAAAAAAUAGAGAGUAUCCUGAUC
Molecule: long non-coding RNA, 1684 nt
Organism: Pogona vitticeps (central bearded dragon)
Lineage: Eukaryota; Metazoa; Chordata; Lepidosauria; Squamata; Agamidae
Source: Ensembl